CAGUACAGUACAGUAAUGAUUACAAAGAUGAUAAGAACGAAGGUAAAGUGAUUGAAUAAAUACAAUGUACAGGUUGUCACAAGUUCUAGUAAGUGUGGUCCACUCCUAUUACGAUUUAUUCACUUGUUUCUGAUUUCUAUUGAGCUCCUAUAUCAUUUGUGAUUAUCUACAGCUUUACAUAAUCAGUACAUAUUUCGUACUGACGUCCCCCACGGGGGACCUGCAUUUCAUGCUGCAGGCACAGGUACC
This 249-nucleotide long non-coding RNA is filed under the name Capsicum annuum. RNAcentral's name for it is "long non-coding RNA (CANN_LNC009542)". Lineage: Eukaryota; Viridiplantae; Streptophyta; Magnoliopsida; Solanales; Solanaceae. The record is from RNAcentral.